RNAcentral lists this ribosomal RNA (253 nucleotides) under uncultured bacterium. RNAcentral's name for it is "partial 16S ribosomal RNA". It matches the Rfam family "Bacterial small subunit ribosomal RNA", at positions 524 to 776 of the family's 1533-position model. The record is from RNAcentral.
UACGUAGGGUGCGAGCGUUGUCCGGAAUUAUUGGGCGUAAAGAGCUCGUAGGCGGCUUGUUGCGUCGGAUGUGAAAGCCCGGGGCUUAACUCCGGGUCUGCAUUCGAUACGGGCAGGCUAGAGUUCGGUAGGGGAGAUCGGAAUUCCUGGUGUAGCGGUGAAAUGCGCAGAUAUCAGGAGGAACACCGGUGGCGAAGGCGGAUCUCUGGGCCGAUACUGACGCUGAGGAGCGAAAGCGUGGGGAGCGAACAGG